Molecule: ribosomal RNA, 179 nt
Filed under: uncultured bacterium
Lineage: Bacteria
Description: partial 16S ribosomal RNA
Rfam family: Bacterial small subunit ribosomal RNA
Source: RNAcentral
GAAGCUGGAAUUGCUAGUAAUGGCAGGUCAGCAUACUGCCGUGAAUACGUUCCCGGGCCUUGUACACACCGCCCGUCACACCAUGAGAGUUGGAAAUACCCGAAGCCUGUGAGCUAGCAGUAAUGAGGCAGCAGUCGAAGGUAGAGCCAAUGAUUGGGGUGAAGUCGUAACAAGGUAAC